CCUACGGGAGGCAGCAGUGAGGAAUAUUGGACAAUGGAGGCAACUCUGAUCCAGCCAUGCCGCGUGCAGGAAGACGGCCCUAUGGGUUGUAAACUGCUUUUAUAGGGGAAGAAACCCACGCUUGUGAGCGUGGCUGACGGUACCCUAAGAAUAAGCACCGGCUAACUCCGUGCCAGCAGCCGCGGUAAU
RNAcentral lists this ribosomal RNA (189 nucleotides) under uncultured bacterium. RNAcentral's name for it is "partial 16S ribosomal RNA". It matches the Rfam family "Bacterial small subunit ribosomal RNA", at positions 338 to 524 of the family's 1533-position model. The record is from RNAcentral.